RNAcentral lists this transfer RNA (80 nucleotides) under Microcaldota archaeon. RNAcentral describes it as "Candidatus Micrarchaeota archaeon (hot springs metagenome) tRNA-Val". The stretch from base 1 to 66 matches the Rfam family "tRNA". From Rfam's summary of the family: Transfer RNA (tRNA) molecules are approximately 80 nucleotides in length. Their secondary structure includes four short double-helical elements and three loops (D, anti-codon, and T loops). Further hydrogen bonds mediate the characteristic L-shaped molecular structure. tRNAs have two regions of fundamental functional importance: the anti-codon, which is responsible for specific mRNA codon recognition, and the 3' end, to which the tRNAs corresponding amino acid is attached (by aminoacyl-tRNA synthetases). tRNAs cope with the degeneracy of the genetic code in two manners: having more than one tRNA (with a specific anti-codon) for a particular amino acid; and 'wobble' base-pairing, i.e. permitting non-standard base-pairing at the 3rd anti-codon position. Lineage: Archaea; Nanobdellati; Microcaldota. The record is from RNAcentral.
GGGCCCGUAGUCGAGUGGUUAAGACGCCACCCUUACAAGGUGGAGAUCCCCAGUUCAAAGAGCCCUUUUUGGGAUGCCUA